RNAcentral lists this ribosomal RNA (253 nucleotides) under uncultured bacterium. RNAcentral's name for it is "partial 16S ribosomal RNA". It matches the Rfam family "Bacterial small subunit ribosomal RNA", at positions 524 to 776 of the family's 1533-position model. The record is from RNAcentral.
GACGAGGGAUCCUAGCGUUGUUCGGAAUCAUUGGGCGUAAAGCGGGUGUAGGCGGGCUUAUAAGUCAGGUGUGAAAUCCCCGGGCUCAACCUGGGAACUGCAUUUGUGACUGCACAGCUGGAGUGCGGCAGAGGGGGAUGGAAUUCCGCGUGUAGCAGUGAAAUGCGUAGAUAUGCGGAGGAACACCGAUGGCGAAGGCAAUCCCCUGGGCCUGCACUGACGCUCAUGCACGAAAGCGUGGGGAGCAAACAGG